UGGGGAAUAUUGGACAAUGGGCGAAAGCCUGAUCCAGCCAUGCCGCGUGUGUGAAGAAGGCCCUAGGGUUGUAAAGCACUUUCAGUAGGGAGGAAAGGUGCGUAGUUAAUACCUGCGUACUGUGACGUUACCUACAGAAGAAGCACCGGCUAACUCCGUGCCAGCAGCCGCGGUAAUACGGAGGGUGCAAGCGUUAAUCGGAAUUACUGGGCGUAAAGCGCGCGUAGGCGGUUACAUAAGUUGGAGGUGAAAUCCCCGGGCUCAACCUGGGACCUGCUUUCAAAACUGUGUGACUAGAGUGCAGCAGAGGAUAGUGGAAUUUCUAGUGUAGCGGUGAAAUGCGUAGAUAUUAGAAGGAACACCAGUGGCGAAGGCGACUGUCUGGGCUGACACUGACGCU
Molecule: ribosomal RNA, 400 nt
Filed under: uncultured bacterium
Lineage: Bacteria
Description: bacterial SSU rRNA
Rfam family: Bacterial small subunit ribosomal RNA
Source: RNAcentral